Molecule: ribosomal RNA, 467 nt
Filed under: uncultured bacterium
Lineage: Bacteria
Description: partial 16S ribosomal RNA
Rfam family: Bacterial small subunit ribosomal RNA
Source: RNAcentral
AACGAACGCUGGCGGCAUGCUUUACACAUGCAAGUUGAACGGAUAUAUUUUAGGGCUUGCUCUGAAUAAAUUAGUAGCAAACGGGUGAGUAACACGUGGGAAUCUUCCCAUCAGUAUGGAAUAACAUUUAGAAAUAAGUGCUAAUACCGUAUAUUCUCUUCGGAGGAAAGAUUUAUCGCUGAUGGAUGAGCCCGCGUCAGAUUAGGUAGUUGGUAGGGUAAUAGCCUACCAAGCCAACGAUCUGUAGCUGGUCUGAGAGGAUGAUCAGCGCACACUGGGACUGAGACACGGCCCAGACUCCUACGGGAGGCAGCAGUGGGGAAUAUUGGACAAUGGGCGAAAGCCUGAUCCAGCAAUGCCGCGUGAAUGAUGAAGGCCUUAGGGUUGUAAAGUUCUUUUAGUAGGGAAGAUAAUGACGGUACCUACAGAAAAAGCCCCGGCUAACUCCGUGCCAGCAGCCGCCGUAA